AGACCCGAAACCCGGUGAUCUAGCCAUGGGCAGGUUGAAGGUUGGGUAACACUAACUGGAGGACCGAACCGACUAAUGUUGAAAAAUUAGCGGAUGACCUGUGGCUGGGGGUGAAAGGCCAAUCAAACCGGGAGAUAGCUGGUUCUCCCCGAAAGCUAUUUAGGUAGCGCCUCGUGAAUUCAUCUCCGGGGGUAGAGCACUGUUUCGGCUAGGGGGCCAUCCCGGCUUACCAACCCGAUGCAAACUGCGAAUACCGGAGAAUGUUAUCACGGGAGACACACGGCGGGUGCUAACGUCCGUCGUGAAGAGGGAAACAACCCAGACCGCCAGCUAAGGUCCCAAAGUCAUGGUUAAGUGGGAAACGAUGUGGGAAGGCCCAGACAGCCAGGAUGUUGGCUUAGAAGCAGCCAUCAUUUAAAGAAAGCGUAAUAGCUCACUGGUCGAGUCGGCCUGCGCGGAAGAUGUAACGGGGCUAAACCAUGCACCGAAGCUGCGGCAGCGAACGUAUCACCCAAGACAACUUUGCGGAGUUGACGAUUGACGGAGCGAAGCGACGUCAAAGCGUUCAUUAAAGUCGAGUUGGCUUAGGGAUACGUUCGUUGGGUAGGGGAGCGUUCUGUAAGCCUGUGAAGGUGUGCUGUGAGGCAUGCUGGAGGUAUCAGAAGUGCGAAUGCUGACAUAAGUAACGAUAAAGCGGGUGAAAAGCCCGCUCGCCGGAAGACCAAGGGUUCCUGUCCAACGUUAAUCGGGGCAGGGUGAGUCGACCCCUAAGGCGAGGCCGAAAGGCGUAGUCGAUGGGAAACGGGUUAAUAUUCCCGUACUUGGUGUUACUGCGAAGGGGGGACGGAGAAGGCUAUGUUGGCCGGGCGACGGUUGUCCCGGUUUAAGCGUGUAGGUGUGUGUUCCAGGUAAAUCCGGUUCACUUUAACACUGAGGCGUGACGACGAGGCACUACGGUGCUGAAGCAACAAAUGCCCUGCUUCCAGGAAAAGCCUCUAAGCAUCAGGUAACAUCAAAUCGUACCCCAAACCGACACAGGUGGUCAGGUAGAGAAUACCAAGGCGCUUGAGAGAACUCGGGUGAAGGAACUAGGCAAAAUGGUGCCGUAACUUCGGGAGAAGGCACGCUGACAUGUAGGUGAAGUGAUUUACUCAUGGAGCUGAAGUCAGUCGAAGAUACCAGCUGGCUGCAACUGUUUAUUAAAAACACAGCACUGUGCAAACACGAAAGUGGACGUAUACGGUGUGACGCCUGCCCGGUGCCGGAAGGUUAAUUGAUGGGGUCAGCGCAAGCGAAGCUCCUGAUCGAAGCCCCGGUAAACGGCGGCCGUAACUAUAACGGUCCUAAGGUAGCGAAAUUCCUUGUCGGGUAAGUUCCGACCUGCACGAAUGGCGUAAUGAUGGCCAGGCUGUCUCCACCCGAGACUCAGUGAAAUUGAACUCGCUGUGAAGAUGCAGUGUACCCGCGGCAAGACGGAAAGACCCCGUGAACCUUUACUAUAGCUUGACACUGAACAUUGAGCCUUGAUGUGUAG
This 1534-nucleotide ribosomal RNA is filed under the name Salmonella enterica subsp. enterica serovar Indiana. RNAcentral describes it as "partial 23S ribosomal RNA". It matches the Rfam family "Bacterial large subunit ribosomal RNA", at positions 711 to 2141 of the family's 2925-position model. The record is from RNAcentral. Lineage: Bacteria; Pseudomonadati; Pseudomonadota; Gammaproteobacteria; Enterobacterales; Enterobacteriaceae.